Molecule: unclassified non-coding RNA, 502 nt
Filed under: Hevea brasiliensis (rubber tree)
Lineage: Eukaryota; Viridiplantae; Streptophyta; Magnoliopsida; Malpighiales; Euphorbiaceae
Source: RNAcentral
AACUGUUCCUGAACAAAAGCAUUAGUUGGCCAGACUUCCAACAAGCAGUUCUUGAAGGGCAUGAAAACAGGCAAGGCGAGAUCAGACUAAGAAAACCAAAAAAGUCAAUAUAUACAUAUCCUGCGCCUGAUUGUACGUGCCAAGCUUAAGUUGAUUUACCUGAAGGAUGUCAAGUUAUUAUCUCUAUUCUAUUGAUUUGGCACCACAACUAUUGUGUGUGGCCGUUAUUAUAAAUAAACAAGAAAUUCCAUUUCUCAUUUGAUGGAAGAGCACAGAUAGCCAUUUAGCUAGAGAACGUGAGAGUGAAUUAGAUAAUGAUAGUGUAUUUUGUCAGCUUCUGGGUUAUGGACCACGUUUGUGGACCAGAAAAAUAUUUACUUGUUAAGUAUCAUUUAAUAGGUCACAGCUGUAUCUGUACUUCUGUUUGUGAUACUUUUGGCUUUUUUGAAGAUAACCAAUGCAACGUUUCACAUAAAGCCAAAAGUAUCACAAACAGAAGUAC